CAGUUCGGAUUGGAGUCUGCAACUCGACUCCAUGAAGUCGGAGUCGCUAGUAAUCGCAAAUCAGCAAAGUUGCGGUGAAUACGUUCUCGGGCUUUGUACACACCGCCCGUCACACCACGAAAGUAGGCAACGCCCGAAGUCAGUGGCCUAACCCUUAUGGGAGGGAGCUGCCGAAGGCGGGGUUUAUGAUUGGGGUGAAGUCGUAACAAGGUAGCCGUACGGGAACGUGCGGCUGGAUCACCUCCUUUAA
This 250-nucleotide ribosomal RNA is filed under the name Gammaproteobacteria bacterium. RNAcentral describes it as "partial 16S ribosomal RNA". It matches the Rfam family "Bacterial small subunit ribosomal RNA", at positions 1289 to 1533 of the family's 1533-position model. Lineage: Bacteria; Pseudomonadati; Pseudomonadota; Gammaproteobacteria. The record is from RNAcentral.